RNAcentral lists this ribosomal RNA (505 nucleotides) under uncultured bacterium. RNAcentral's name for it is "partial 16S ribosomal RNA". It matches the Rfam family "Bacterial small subunit ribosomal RNA", at positions 28 to 507 of the family's 1533-position model. The record is from RNAcentral.
GACGAACGCUGGCGGCGUGCCUAAUACAUGCAAGUAGAACGCACAGUUUAUACCGUAGCUUGCUACACCAUAGACUGUGAGUUGCGAACGGGUGAGUAACGCGUAGGUAACCUGCCUGGUAGCGGGGGAUAACUAUUGGAAACGAUAACUAAUACCGCAUAAUAUUAAUUAUUGCAUGAUAAUUGAUUGAAAGAUGCAACUGCAUCACUACCAGAUGGCCCUGCGUUGUAUUAGCUAGUAGGUGAGGUAACGGCUCACCUAGGCGACGAUACAUAGCCGACCUGAGAGGGUGAUCGGCCACACUGGGACUGAGACACGGCCCAGACUCCUACGGGAGGCAGCAGUAGGGAAUCUUCGGCAAUGGACGAAAGUCUGACCGAGCAACGCCGCGUGAGUGAAGAAGGUUUUCGGAUCGUAAAGCUCUGUUGUAAGAGAAGAACGGGUGUGAGAGUGGAAAGUUCACACUGUGACGGUAUCUUACCAGAAAGGGACGGCUAACUACGUG